This is a long non-coding RNA of Cyprinus carpio carpio, 489 nucleotides long. The record is from Ensembl. Lineage: Eukaryota; Metazoa; Chordata; Actinopteri; Cypriniformes; Cyprinidae.
AAGCCUUGCAUCUCGGACAGGGAAGCUGCUGACAUUGUUCGGCUGUGGGACAGACUGCCGGACAGUGACAGACAGGGUUUUUCCUACCCACCAAGACUCAAGGAGAGACUUUUGCAAGGCAGGUUCAAGGCCACCCACUCCAAAACCUCCACCUGCCAUGGAAAUGAGAGCCUGAAGUGAUGUGUGCUGGGGCAGGGCUCCUGCGCAGUGGCCUAAUAUUAGUAGAAUUGUAUUGGCAGUAUGUCUGGAGCUCAUCCAGUGAGGAAGGUGAAGUGGGGCGUUUCAAUGAACCACUGGGCUGCUGUACUACAUGACUACAAGGCCAUAUGGAGACUGGUGGGGAACUGCCCAGCACUGAGGGGACAGACAUGAAUUCAACUGUUUGAGGUACAACAACUACAGGAAGAAGCUGGAGGCAGAUGUGCUGGCUCUGAGUGUGCCCUUGCCUCAGAUCAGCAUGGUAUCUCACACCCAGCUUCCUGUAGCCAG